Molecule: ribosomal RNA, 840 nt
Filed under: uncultured Bacillus sp.
Lineage: Bacteria; Bacillati; Bacillota; Bacilli; Caryophanales; Bacillaceae
Description: bacterial SSU rRNA
Rfam family: Bacterial small subunit ribosomal RNA
Source: RNAcentral
CAAGUCGAGCGGACAGAUAAGGAGCUUGCUCCUUUGACGUUAGCGGCGGACGGGUGAGUAACACGUGGGCAACCUACCCUAUAGUUUGGGAUAACUCCGGGAAACCGGGGCUAAUACCGAAUAAUCUUUUGUCUCUCAUGAGACAAUUCUGAAAGACGGUUUCGGCUGUCGCUAUAGGAUGGGCCCGCGGCGCAUUAGCUAGUUGGUGAGGUAACGGCUCACCAAGGCAACGAUGCGUAGCCGACCUGAGAGGGUGAUCGGCCACACUGGAACUGAGACACGGCCCAGACUCCUACGGGAGGCAGCAGUAGGGAAUCUUCCACAAUGGGCGAAAGCCUGAUGGAGCAACGCCGCGUGAGUGAAGAAGGAUUUCGGUUCGUAAAACUCUGUUGUAAGGGAAGAACAAGUACAGUAGUAACUGGCUGUACCUUGACGGUACCUUAUUAGAAAGCCACGGCUAACUACGUGCCAGCAGCCGCGGUAAUACGUAGGUGGCAAGCGUUGUCCGGAAUUAUUGGGCGUAAAGCGCGCGCAGGUGGUUUCUUAAGUCUGAUGUGAAAGCCCACGGCUCAACCGUGGAGGGUCAUUGGAAACUGGGAGACUUGAGUGCAGAAGAGGAUAGUGGAAUUCCAAGUGUAGCGGUGAAAUGCGUAGAGAUUUGGAGGAACACCAGUGGCGAAGGCGACUAUCUGGUCUGUAACUGACACUGAGGCGCGAAAGCGUGGGGAGCAAACAGGAUUAGAUACCCUGGUAGUCACGCCGUAAACGAUGAGUGCUAAGUGUUAGGGGGUUUCCGCCCCUUAGUGCUGCAGCUAACGCAUUAAGCACUCCGCCUGGGGA